Molecule: ribosomal RNA, 477 nt
Filed under: uncultured Glomus
Lineage: Eukaryota; Fungi; Glomeromycota; Glomeromycetes; Glomerales; Glomeraceae
Description: SSU rRNA
Rfam family: Eukaryotic small subunit ribosomal RNA
Source: RNAcentral
AGCAGCCGCGGUAAUUCCAGCUCCAAUAGCGUAUAUUAAAGUUGCUGCAGUUAAAAAGCUCGUAGUUGAAUUUCGGGACUAAUAUGUCGGUCGUGCCUCGGUACGUACUGGUUUAUUGGUUUCUCCUUUCUGAAGAACCAUGAUGUCAUUUAUUUGGUGUCGUGGGGAAUCAGGACUGUUACUUUGAAAAAUUAGAGUGUUUAAAGCAGGCUCACGCUUGAAUACAUUAGCAUGGAAUAAUGAAAUAGGACGUUUGAUUCUAUUUUGUUGGUUUCUAGGAUCGACGUAAUGAUUAAUAGGGAUAGUUGUGGGCAUUAGUAUUCAAUUGUCAGAGGUGAAAUUCUUGGAUUUAUUGAAGACUAACUACUGCGAAAGCAUUUGCCAAGGAUGUUUUCAUUAAUCAAGAACGAAAGUUAGGGGAUCGAAGACGAUCAGAUACCGUCGUAGUCUUAACCAUAAACUAUGCCGACUAGGGAU